UACAGAGGGGGCAAGCGUUAUUCGGAAUUACUGGGCGUAAAGCGCAUGUAGGCGGCAGCGCAAGUCGGGCGUGAAAUCCCACGGCUCAACCGUGGAAGUGCACUCGAAACUGCGCAGCUAGAGUCCUGGAGAGGAAGGUGGAAUGCUUGGUGUAGAGGUGAAAUUCGUAGAUAUCAAGCGGAACACCGGUGGCGAAGGCGGCCUUCUGGACAGUGACUGACGCUGAGAUGCGAAAGCGUGGGGAGCAAACAGG
RNAcentral lists this ribosomal RNA (253 nucleotides) under uncultured bacterium. Its description in RNAcentral is "partial 16S ribosomal RNA". It matches the Rfam family "Bacterial small subunit ribosomal RNA", at positions 524 to 776 of the family's 1533-position model. The record is from RNAcentral.